AGUGAACGCUGGCGGUAGGCCUAGCACAUGCAAGUCGAACGGCAGCACAGUAAGAGCUUGCUCUUACGGGUGGCGAGUGGCGGACGGGUGAGGAAUACAUCGGAAUCUACUUUUUCGUGGGGGAUAACGUAGGGAAACUUACGCUAAUACCGCAUACGACCUACGGGUGAAAGCAGGGGAUCUUCGGACCUUGCGCGAUUGAAUGAGCCGAUGUCGGAUUAGCUAGUUGGCGGGGUAAAGGCCCACCAAGGCGACGAUCCGUAGCUGGUCUGAGAGGAUGAUCAGCCACACUGGAACCGAGACACGGUCCAGACUCCUACGGGAGGCAGCAGUGGGGAAUAUUGGACAAUGGGCGCAAGCCUGAUCCAGCCAUACCGCGUGGGUGAAGAAGGCCUUCGGGUUGUAAAGCCCUUUUGUUGGGAAAGAAAAGCAGCAGGUUAAUACCCCGCUGUUCUGACGGUACCCAAAGAAUAAGCACCGGCUAACUUCGUG
This 492-nucleotide ribosomal RNA is filed under the name uncultured bacterium. Its description in RNAcentral is "partial 16S ribosomal RNA". It matches the Rfam family "Bacterial small subunit ribosomal RNA", at positions 29 to 507 of the family's 1533-position model. The record is from RNAcentral.